AGGCAGUUAGACGCCCUUUUUGCUUACAGGGCAGCGCCGUGUUUUGGCAUCAGCCAUGGCUUGUUUGACGGGUUUGGAUGGGAGACGUGAUGGGAGCAGCAGUAUCCGGCAGCCAGAACCAAAAUUAACGUGCUCCAUCCACUGUAGCCGCAGAGGCAAAGCAGCGCGACGCGGUUGCUUGUAGCCCUUCUUGUAUCGUGUAACCUGUAGUGUUCUCCAACAGCUUCUCUUUUAAGGGAAAGAAGCAGUUCUUCACUUACCUGUUACAGUCACUGGAGGAAAAAAAUACUAUGUUUGUGAUUCAGUAUUGAAUCGUUCAUGGCGUACAAGAUUGUAGCUGCUGUAACUGUAAUGCAGCAGUCAGACGUGGAUGCUACCAGAUGGACAUCUGAAAUUCAUUCAUAUCUGCAAGGUACUUCAAGCUGUACAACAACUGUGAAGAAGGGUAUAGUAAGCCACACCAUCACUCCUGUUAGAACUGGCCAUUCCCCAGGUUGGAACAAAGGAGCCAGAAGAAGAGAUAUCUUUGUGAUUCAUCCACUUACACAAGAGUAGGAAGAGCUGCAUUCUCACUGUUCCUGUGGUUGUGUAUUUAUUAUACAGUCAUUAAGCUGGGGAGAAAAGAAAAUGCUAAGUCAAACACUUUCCACCUUUGACCUAAAUCUUGUACCUGGCAGUUUUCUUGGUAAGUGAGAAGUGUUUUCACCUUCACUAUAGGAUUAAAAAAAAAAAGAGACAAAGUUCAUGUCAGAGAAAUUUGCAGAUUUAUUUUGGCAACCGCAGUGGCAAAGAGCUAAAGAAACUGGCUGGUGCAUCAUAAGUCCCUAUUUGACUGUCACUGGAGCUCAAAGGACAACUCGUAACAAUCGGUAAAAACAUGACUCAUGGGCUCAAAGCCAAAAGGUGAACGUUUCUGGGUUGUUAGCUAAUCUAGGAGAUCUGACUCAUUUUGAGCUACAGUCACUUCAUACAAGAUCAUAUGAUCUUAUUUAGCUAACACUGUAUCUGAUUAUUAUUUAAAAUGAGUUCAUCGCUUGAUUGCAGUAAUUCAUUGUUACAAGUUUAUAAGCACAAUGAAGGGUGGGAUUCACUUGCCUUAUGGUAUUCCACUUGAAUCUCCAAAAGGUCACUUUUCUCUCAAAGUUCUUGUAUCACAUCUGCCAGCUCUGUACAGAUGUCUCUUACACCUUUUGGAUGACUGGAGCAGCCACUGCGAACUGUUGAACAGUCAGCUGAAUUUCACUGUAAGCAUGCAGAAACAUUUUUCUGUUAACCACUUUUGCUCUCAGAAUAGUCUGAACAACAGCUUGGCUUCAGGAUUUUGACAAGAACUAAAUUACUCUCUUGAAGGUAAUGCGGUCAUUCCCUAGCUUUGGCUAUCAGAAGUGUGUUAGUAUUUUACAUUCAUCAAGUUAUUGUGUUGGAUAGACCACAGAGUAGAGGGGCAAGGGAGUAGGCUGAAACGUUCGCUAGGGUGUAGAGGCAAAAUGUAUGCAAAAUGGAGUAAUCACCCAGAUUUAGAUAUAGUGGUCUGAUAAAAAAAAUCACUGCAGCUAAAUUUGAAGUGUCUGGAAAUUACACUGCUGGCCAUCUCUCAAAUUCUCAUAAAUUUUAUUAUUAUUCUUAGUUUGAAAUGUUUUGUGUUUGGUCUCCGAUUAUGACUGAAAUAUAGGGAAGGGAAACAUAACGCAUUUCCUGUAGAUUCAAAUGACUUUUGUACAGAUCCAGUUCACAUCAGUCUAGAUAUUCCUGUUCAUUUAGAACAUAAGAAGUUUCCAUGUACAUGUUACAACUUGUAAGAAAACUUGCAGAAGUUUUUAAGGCCACUUUCUCUAAUAGGUAGCUUUAUAUUAUGGAAUUUAUUGUAUCAUUCAUAAAUAAAGAUGAUCACUGAAAUGUUAACAUCUUACGGUAUUGUAUUUGUUUAAAUAUAUAUAUUUGAAAGUUUCAUGGGCAAUUUUCUUCACCUUUCAGGCAUUUACAUAACUUGUCAAACUAAGAAAGAAAGGUUAUUACGCUUAUAUUGAUUACAGGUUUUUGUUUUUACAGAACAGGUGUGACAGUUGUCUCUGGUUUUAGCACACACCUCCCCACACACCCCAAAUCCAGAUAGGACUGAAGAACUGUUACCCUAUAAGCUUAAGGAACAGAGAAAUGCAAAAAUAAGUUUCCCAGAGAGUAUACUCCGCU
Long non-coding RNA from Gymnogyps californianus (California condor), 2190 nucleotides. RefSeq lists it as uncharacterized. The transcript has 6 exons. Lineage: Eukaryota; Metazoa; Chordata; Aves; Accipitriformes; Cathartidae. The record is from RefSeq and is a predicted model, not a curated record.